GCCCGCCCGGGCGUGCUCGGUGGGAAGGGCAGAGCGCCCGCCCCUCGGGAUUCCCCCGAGGCACCGAGGUCGGAGCGCUGGGCUUUCGGAAAGCGGGGGGGCGAGGGGUUACGCGUGGAAAGGUUCGCGAGUGGAGGGGAGGUAGGACGCUCAAGUGCUCUCACGAAGGCGUGCUGAGCUCGGGGUGUCGUCCUAAGCACCUACGGAUAACAGGGGUAGACCCUAGUCUGAGAUACGAAGAAUUUUGUGUGCCUCCCUCCCGUUCCUGCCCGUCUUCUGCUAAAGCCUGGGAGCUCCUUGCGCUCCUUCUCCCUCUCCUUCCCGGGGCAGCACCGCCGGGAGCGGUGCCCCCGAUCCGGCCGGGCACAAGAGCACGGCUCGGGGCUGCAGGCGGCUGGAGCCGGGCGGAAAUUUUGGACGGGCGACCACGGAAAAACCUCGCUUUGCAGCGGGCACGCACGGCGCCUGCCCCUGCCUUUGUCCAGCCGGACUGUGGAACAGGCUCCUAAAAAACGCAGCACACUUCGGCUUCCAUCCCGAAUCCCAGCAAACGCAAUGUCGGGUGGCGAAAAGACCCCUCUUGCACGUGGAUAGCCGGGAUUUCUUUCCAAACAGCGGGGACUGACAUGCAUUUCUUAAAAAUCCCGUUCUCUGUAUGGCUGCGAGGGGAAAGCCGGUGGAAGCGGGGAGGCUGGUGCCGCAGCUCCGCCAGCGGAGCAUCCUCAGCCCGCCUGGCAUCGCCCUCCCGGACCUGCUCGGCACCGCGCUGCCAGCUGCCCAGGGCCGGCAGCUCACCAAAAGUUACUUUCACAGGCUGCCACAAGCAUCCUCGGCGGCUUCAGCAGCCCGGCAGGGAGAUACCGGAGACGUUUGUUCUUUUCCCAGGCGAACCGGGAGAAGCCGAACGCGCUGCAAGAGUUUAAAAAACCUCGGGGGGAAUCAUCCACCUCCUGCUUCAGCGCCUCGUGCUGCGCGGACACUUCGCAAAGAGCAGAAGAAGUUCCGUUUAAAGGCUCCAAGGGGUGGUUAUCAGCUCCUUCCAGCGCAGAUCAGAGCAGCGUGCGAACGCACAGCCCUUCGGGUUGGGCUCGGUGUCGGGCUCGGUGCGACUUAAGUCAAAGAGCCCCGAGGAAUUAACUCCUGGGGUUGAGGAAUCACGCCAAGACACACACCCGGUCGCACGGAGAGGAACCUUUGCAUUGAAACGCCUUUGGCUGCAGGGUGUUUUGAGAAGGAAGGCAGAGCAGUACGGGCAGAGCAUGGGGUUUGCCAGCACAGAAAUUACGGGGAAAAUGCCCUCUGAGCUUCGACAUGGGCUAAACUCGGACACAAAGGACGCGAAACUGGCUGGAAAAGGGGGAAUACCCCCUUUGCUGAUCGCCAAGAAUAAUCCGAGGUCAAAUAAAGAACAGCAAAUGUUUCCUAGGUCGGCACCCAAAACAAAUCGUGGCAAUUUCUAGGCAAUUUUGUUGCUGUUAUUUUAGUACCGUGCUGUUCUGUUCAUUAAAAAUCUUUUUAUGCCCCCAGAAAAAGUGGAACUGAGAACGUUUCCCCUUUAAUACCACAUUAUCAACACAGCUCAUUUGCUAUUUUUCAAUGAAUUAUCCCUUUUAUUUGUUUAUUUCUUUGAUCAACUAUAAAUGAAAGUUAUUCGUGUAUAUAAAACUGAAGUUUUUACUGUUGAAAUUGAACUGUACAUGUUUACUACAGGAAAAAAUAUCAACUCUUGUUUAACAAGACAUUAUACAUCAAUAAGCAAUAACCUUGUGGAGGAUUUGCAAUCACCUGGUCUAUAAAAACAAGCAGGACAAAUAACAGCAAUUUAUAUGCAAAAGUAAUGAUUUAAUGACUAUAAGCAAGACAAAGCAAUAGAAUUGUGCUUCUUUUGCAGACUGGAGACAAUGAAAUGUUUAACUACAAUUUUCCCGUACAAACAUGAAACAAUAUCCAUAUAGAAUAAACACCCUCACAAAUGUAUAACUGAUGGGUGAUGAACACACACGAAGUUCGACCAAAGCAAAGCACAAACUGAAAAGUGUUCUG
Cygnus atratus (black swan) is the source of this 2043-nucleotide long non-coding RNA. RefSeq lists it as uncharacterized. The transcript is spliced from 2 exons. NCBI's taxonomy places the organism in Eukaryota, Metazoa, Chordata, Aves, Anseriformes, Anatidae. The record is from RefSeq and is a predicted model, not a curated record.